AGAGUUUGAUCUGGCUCAGACGAACGCUGGCGGCGNNNUAGACAUGCAAGUCGAACGAGACUUUUCGUUGUAGCAAUACGAUGGAAAGUUUAGUGGCGAACGGGUGCUUAACACGUGGCAACCUGCCAUGAAGUGGGGGAUAGCUCGCCGAAAGGCGAAUUAAUACCGCAUGUGAUUAGAGAGGACAUCCUUUCAAAAUUAAAGUCGGGGCAACCUGACGCUUCUUGUGGGGCCCGCGGCCUAUCAGCUAGUUGGUGAGGUAACGGCUCACCAAGGCUUUGACGGGUAGCUGGUCUGAGAGGACGACCAGCCACACUGGGACUGAGACACGGCCCAGACACCUACGGGUGGCAGCAGUCGAGAAUUUUUGACAAUGGGGGAAACCCUGAUCGAGCGACGCCGCGUGGAGGAUGAAGGUCUUCGGAUUGUAAACUCCUGUCAUUUGGGAACAAGGUGCACACGUUAACUGCGUGAGUAUUGAUAGUACCAGAAGAGGAAGAGACGGCUAACUCUGUGCCAGCAGCCGCGGUAAUACAGAGGUCUCAAGCGUUGUUCGGAUUCAUUGGGCGUAAAGGGUGCGUAGGCGGCGCGGUAAGUCGGGUGUGAAAUCUCGGAGCUUAACUCCGAAACUGCAUUCGAUACUGCCGUGCUUGAGGACUGGAGAGGAGACUGGAAUUUACGGUGUAGCGGUGAAAUGCGUAGAUAUCGUAAGGAAGACCAGUGGCGAAGGCGGGUCUCUGGACAGUUCCUGACGCUGAGGCACGAAGGUCAGGGGAGCAAACGGGAUUAGAUACCCUAGUAGUCC
This 805-nucleotide ribosomal RNA is filed under the name uncultured bacterium. Its description in RNAcentral is "bacterial SSU rRNA". It matches the Rfam family "Bacterial small subunit ribosomal RNA", at positions 8 to 796 of the family's 1533-position model. The record is from RNAcentral.